CCUACGGGCGGCAGCAGUGGGGAAUAUUGGACAAUGGGGGGAACCCUGAUCCAGCCAUGCCGCGUGUGUGAAGAAGGCCCUCGGGUUGGAAAGCACUUUCAGUGAGGAAGAACGCCUGGUGGUUAAUACCCAUCAGGAAAGACAUCACUCACAGAAGAAGCACCGGCUAACUCCGUGCCAGCAGCCGCGGUAAUACGGAGGGUGCGAGCGUUAAUCGGAAUUACUGGGCGUAAAGCGCGCGUAGGUGGCUUGAUAAGCCGGUUGUGAAAGCCCCGGGCUCAACCUGGGAACGGCAUCCGGAACUGUCAAGCUAGAGUGCAGGAGAGGAAGGUAGAAUUCCCGGUGUAGCGGUGAAAUGCGUAGAGAUCGGGAGGAAUACCAGUGGCGAAGGCGGCCUUCUGGACUGACACUGACACUGAGGUGCGAAAGCGUGGGUAGCAAACAGGAUUAGAUACCCUUGUAGUC
RNAcentral lists this ribosomal RNA (465 nucleotides) under Vreelandella stevensii. Its description in RNAcentral is "partial 16S ribosomal RNA". It matches the Rfam family "Bacterial small subunit ribosomal RNA", at positions 338 to 795 of the family's 1533-position model. Lineage: Bacteria; Pseudomonadati; Pseudomonadota; Gammaproteobacteria; Oceanospirillales; Halomonadaceae. The record is from RNAcentral.